GACCUGGCUGGAAUGUGCUACAAGCAGCAUUUCAGCUACUUGCUAAAGAACUACCCACUCACCCCCAGUUCAAAGAAAAACUGAUACCACAAUUUGCUCUCCACUCCCAAAACCCUGUUCAUAGUCCCAUAUUUAAAUGGAUUAUUAAUAAAGACUCUAAGUCAGCCUAAGACAAGGGGCAAAGGACUCACCUAAUGCCUAACAUUUUACUUCUUUGGCCCUGGGCCACACCACCUUCUCAGGCAUGAAAUUGUUCAACUUGUGUUAAGUGUCCUCCAUAAAACACACUCAUUCCCCAGCGUCAGGAGAGGACAGGGUCAAUAAACACCCAUGGUCCAGGGGGUUUUGGCACAGGGGUCUUCUCAAAGUCUCCUGCAAAAAUUAGUCUAUAAAGGGUUAGAUAAUGUCUUUGAGGCCUUGGAUGUUACAGCAAAAACUGGUAUUUACCCCUCUGAAGUAAUAGGCUUUUGGGAUACCAAGGGCUACUGUGAUGGCCCUGGACCACUUCUCAGAGUAAUAGACAUGGUUUCUUUCUUUCUUUUUUUUUUUUUUGAUUUUUGGCCAGGGCUAGGUUUGAACCCACCACCGGCACCCUACUCCUUGAGCCACAGGCGCCGCCCUAGAUAUGGUUUCUUUUGGGAGUGACCAAGGUAAACGUGACAAUGGUCUUUAUCCAGAUUCCAUUCUUGAUAGGCUCGCCAGUGCUCCAUGAUGGAGGGAGUUAUGAACAGGGAAUAGAUGGACUCUCCAGGAUACCCAAGUACCAAGUACCAGGCUUAGGGAGCUAAGCCUGUGCAGGGUCCCUUUCCUCUUUAGCCAAAAGAAAGCCAGCUUGGCGCCUGUAGCUCAGUGAUGGGGCGAUGGCCACAUACAUCAGGACUGGAGGUGUGGAGAGCCGGCUGUGAGACUGGCAGGGCCCUCACAGCCUGGGGAACGUUCAUAGAAUAAACCCCUAAGUGCUUCUCCUCCACUCUCAAAAUAGCCAUAUUCCUUUCUUCAUGCUCCCUCUGCCAGAAGUCAUGUAGAGUGCCAUGGUAUCACAGCUCACAGCAACCUCCAACUCCUGGGCUCAAGCAAUUCUCUUGCCUCUGCCUCCCAAGUAGCUGGGACUACAGCCUGCCACAAUGCCGGGCUAUUCUUUUUUUUUUUUUUUUAGAGAGUCUCACUUUAUCAUCCUUGGUAGAGUGUCGUGGUGUCACAGCUCAAAGCAACCUCCAACUCCUGGGCUUAGGUGAUUCUCUUGCCUCAGCCUCCUGAGUAUCUGGGACUACAGGUGCCCACCACAACGCCCGGCUAUUUUUUUGUUGGAGUUUGGCCUGGGCUGGGUUUGAACCUGCCACCCUCGGUAUAUGGGGCCGGCACCUUACCCACUGAGCCACAGGCACUGCCCAAGGGCUAUUUUUUGUUGUUGUUGUUGCAGCCAUCAUUGUUGUUUGGCUGGCGGGCUGGAUUUGAACCAGCAAGCUCAGGUGUAUGUGGCUGGCACCUCAGCUGCUUAGGCACAGGCCCCGAGCCAAACAUUUUCCUAUUGUACUGUAAGACCAAAACUAUGUCUUCUGUUUAUGUUAUUUCCUCAUAUUGUCUCUGCUACCUCCCCUGGACAACCGUGUACAGAUACUAUAAAAUAAAGCUGAUUUUGUGCUUUGGUGCUGGCUGUAGCCAUCAGCUCAGUCAGUCCUCCUGGUUCCGUCCUUUGUUUCUGUGUCUUCUCUUGUGCUGUAUUUUCCUCAUUCCCCCUCGCCACGCUGGUUCGAGACAUGGUGGGUUCAAACCCGGGCCAGGCUUGCUAAACAAUAAUGACAACUACAACAACAAAAAAUAGCUGGGCGUUGUGGCGGGUGCCUGUAGUCCCAGCUACCUGAGAGGCUGAGGCAAGAGAAUUGCUUAAGCCCAAAAGUUGGAGGUUCUGUGAGCUGUGACACCAUAGCAGUCUACUCAGGGUGACAUAGCGAGACUGUCUCAAAAAAGGAAAAAAAAAAAAGAAAGAAAGCCCUAACUCUGAACACCUGAUCCCAAACAGUGGUAUUAGUACAGAUUGACAAAUAAGCAAGUUGAACAAAAUAUAGUCCAGAAAUAGACCCACAUCUUUUUUCUUUCUUGAGCCAGGUUUUACUUCAUCACCCUUGAUAGAGUGUAAUGGCAACACAGUUCACAGUAACCUCAAACUCUUGGGCAUAAGUGAUUCAUUUGCCUCACCCUCCUGAGUAGCUGGGACUACAGGUGCCUGCUAGAAGUGCUGGCUAUUUUUAGAGGCGGGGUCUCUCUCUGUUGCAGGAAGACGAGGCUCAACAGAGAGAAAUAGCACCCAAACACAUUUAUAAGGGCUUUAUUCACCAGCUGGGAGCUUACAGAAUAGAAGAAUUCCAAAUGGUUGUGCUCCCUGACUGGCUUGGUCUUUCCCUUUUUACCGACAAUCAAAAAGUUCCACCCCACACCUUCUCAUUGGCCAGUUUGAAUCAAGCGGGAGAUGCUACUCCAGCCCCUACAGAACUAUAGGAUUUCACAGAAUUUGGAAAUUUCCAAGUUCCAGGAAGUUAAGUUUACAAAUUCCCAAGAGCUGAGUCACCAUGGAGAGGACCCUGCAGGUGCAUCCUCGUGGUCUCCUUGAGAAAACCUGUUCUUCUAGACCUCACCCUUCUCAGGUAUCCUCUCUCAUCUCUAACUCAGGCUGGUCUUGAACUUGUGAACUCAAGCAAUCCACUGGCCUUGACCUCCCAGAGUGCUGGGAUUAUAGGGGUGAGCCACUGCACCCGGCCCUGACCCACAUCUUUGUAGGAAUUUAAUAUGUGUGUAUAUA
Nycticebus coucang (slow loris) is the source of this 2797-nucleotide long non-coding RNA. RefSeq lists it as uncharacterized. NCBI's taxonomy places the organism in Eukaryota, Metazoa, Chordata, Mammalia, Primates, Lorisidae. The record is from RefSeq and is a predicted model, not a curated record. The transcript has 2 exons.